Molecule: ribosomal RNA, 292 nt
Filed under: uncultured bacterium
Lineage: Bacteria
Description: partial 16S ribosomal RNA
Rfam family: Bacterial small subunit ribosomal RNA
Source: RNAcentral
GUGUCAGCAGCCGCGGUAAAACGUAGGUUCCGAGCGUUAUCCGGAUUUACUGGGCGUAAAGCGUGUUCAGGCGGCUGGACAAGUCGGGCAUGAAAUCUCUCGGCUCAACCGGGAGAGGCUGUCCGAAACUGUUCGGCUGGAGGGCAGUAGAGGGUGGUGGAAUUCCGGGUGUAGUGGUGAAAUGCGUAGAUAUCCGGAGGAACACCAGUGGCGAAAGCGGCCACCUGGACUGUACCUGACGCUCAAACACGAAAGCUAGGGGAGCGAACGGGAUUAGAAACCCCGGUAGUCC